GACGGAGGGUGCAAGCGUUGUUCGGAUUGACUGGGCGUAAAGGGCGUGUAGGCGGUUGGUCAAGUCUGAUGUGAAAGCCCGGAGCUCAGCCCCGGAAGGGCAUCGGAAACUAACCAGCUGGAGCGCGAUAGAGGAGGGCGGAAUUCCUGGUGUAGCGGUGAAAUGCAUAGAUAUGUCACAGAACACCAAUUGCGAAGGCAGCUUACUAAAGUAUGAUUGACGCUGAGGCACGAAAGCGUGGGGAUCAAACAGG
This 253-nucleotide ribosomal RNA is filed under the name uncultured prokaryote. RNAcentral's name for it is "partial 16S ribosomal RNA". It matches the Rfam family "Bacterial small subunit ribosomal RNA", at positions 524 to 776 of the family's 1533-position model. The record is from RNAcentral.